RNAcentral lists this ribosomal RNA (882 nucleotides) under uncultured bacterium. Its description in RNAcentral is "bacterial SSU rRNA". It matches the Rfam family "Bacterial small subunit ribosomal RNA", at positions 8 to 904 of the family's 1533-position model. The record is from RNAcentral.
AGAGUUUGAUCCUGGCUCAGGACGAACGCUGGCGGCGUGCUUAACACAUGCAAGUCGAACGGAAAGGCCCCUUUGGGGGUACUCGAGUGGCGAACGGGUGAGUAACACGUGAGUAACCUGCCCUUGACUUCGGGAUAACUUCAGGAAACUGGGGCUAAUACCGGAUAGGAAUCCUUGCUGCAUGGUGGGGGUUGGAAAGCUUCGGCGGUUUUGGAUGGACUCGCGGCUUAUCAGCUUGUUGGUGGGGUAGUGGCUUACCAAGGCUUUGACGGGUAGCCGGCCUGAGAGGGCGACCGGCCACAUUGGGACUGAGAUACGGCCCAGACUCCUACGGGAGGCAGCAGUGGGGAAUAUUGCACAAUGGGCGGAAGCCUGAUGCAGCAACGCCGCGUGCGGGAUGACGGCCUUCGGGUUGUAAACCGCUUUCAGCAGGGGCGAAGCUUUUGUGACGGUACCUGCAGAAGAAGCACCGGCUAACUACGUGCCAGCAGCCGCGGUGAUACGUAGGGUGCGAGCGUUGUCCGGAUUUAUUGGGCGUAAAGAGCUCGUAGGUGGUUGAUUGCGUCGGAAGUGAAAACUUGGGGCUUAACCCUGAGCGUGCUUUCGAUACGGGUUGACUUGAGGAAGGUAGGGGAGAAUGGAAUUCCUGGUGGAGCGGUGGAAUGCGCAGAUAUCAGGAGGAACACCAGUGGCGAGGGCGGUUCUCUGGACCUUUCCUGACGCUGAGGAGCGAAAGCGUGGGGAGCGAACAGGCUUAGAUACCCUGUAGUCCACGCUGUAAACGGUGGGUACUAGGUGUGGGGUCCAUUCCACGGAUUCCGUGCCGUAGCUAACGCAUUAAGUACCCCGCCUGGGGAGUACGGCCGCAAGGCUAAAACUCAA